RNAcentral lists this long non-coding RNA (2392 nucleotides) under Sus scrofa (pig). Its description in RNAcentral is "lncRNA (ENSSSCG00000042581.1)". Lineage: Eukaryota; Metazoa; Chordata; Mammalia; Artiodactyla; Suidae. The record is from RNAcentral.
CAGUUCCAUGCCCAGUAAGCAAGUAUUGCAACAUCGAAGGGGAAAACAGUCGAAACAACCUGGAGAAGAAACCUGUGAUGCCUGAAAUAGUUAUAGAAGACUGAGCUGUACAUGUAAAUGAGCUGACACUCACUACUCCUGAGAAGUAAUAAGGGAGAAAAUAAGGAUGCAGAAAAAGAUGAGCUAUGACAAUGAAAGACAAGUUCUAAACCUGCUAAUACUGAAGAUGAACUAAGCAUAUAUCUGGAGGCUGUGAAGAGCAGUAAUAAAGCAACUGAGAAUGAACUGAAACAACAUCUCCCAUGGUGGAGAAAACAUACAAACUAAUUACAGCAACGCAAGAAAAAAUGACAAGCCUAGAAAGUAGGUUAAGGGCAUUUAGUAUACAAAUAUUAUGGAUAGCUGAGGAAAUUUAAAAGUUCAAUGAUGUAACUCUCCUUUGAGAAAUAAUUGAACUCUUUUUCUUGAACUGGAAGAGAAUCACAUCAAAAGAGCAUCUAGACCUCUUGAAAAUAUCAUCAAAGAAGAAUAAAAAUGUACUUAGCUGUGUUAACAGAAAUAUUAAAAAAAUAAACAUGAAAACUAAUAGAAACGUGAAAUGUGGUUUAGGUAACUGAUACAAGCUUGUUACUUAAAAAUGCUUUUCUGCUAAUUUUAUAUGUGAGCUUAUGAAUACUCCAAUAAUCUCAAUAUUCCAAAGAGUAAUGGCAUAGUCCCUUUUUGCAUGUAGGAAGACACAGACACUCCGAAUGGGAGAAGGAAAAUUUACAGCAGAAGAUUUUUCAAAAUAUUCAUGAAGCAUUCUUUCCAACAGUUUGAAAAUCAUAGUGUGCAGUGAAAGAAAAUGUUGAAGGAAAUGAGUUGUGUUUGUGAAGGGCAUGAACCAGGAAACAACAACAGCAGUGAUGAAGAAUAGCUGGUUUUCAUAGAAGAAAAAAUAAGCAGUAAAUGAUCAUUAAAAGUACACAUUUUGGUAACUAUUAAUAUGCAAAUUAAUAGUUUUAAGAUAUAAUUAAAUUGACAAAAUAAGUUAAGAUUCAUGAUUUAAAAGCUGCUGUGUAUGUAGUUCAAUGAUAUUCAGAAGCCACAGGAAAAUGCAGUUUAAUUAUACCUAGAUUUUAAAUUCAUAUGUUUAUCUUUAUUCAAAUGUAUGUGUGUGGAUUCAUGUAUAUAUACACACACAUGUAUAUACACACAAGUACACACGUGGAGAAAGAGAUAUUUUCUGAUAACAAUAAGUAAACAGCCCUUUAACAACAUUUAAAUCCUAUUCUAGUGAUAUUUAUUUUUCUUGGCACUUUCCUAUUCUUUUCUUUAUGUAUGAGGCGUAAUCCUGAAAGUGAUGCUACAGAAAAGGAGGACAAAGACUUGGGAUGAAAAUAUCACAGGUGCUAAAAUUACUCUAGUUCUGUUUGGGCUCUGGCCACUCUGGCUUGACUUCAAAACAUGUUUCCUUGAGGCAAGUGUCCCUGAAAUGCUCCAGGAAAACUCUGGGGAUGGGUUAAAAUCAUACCCUUGAAACUCAUCUUAAUCAUGAAUGUUAUAUUUCCUAAGAAAAGGGAACAUGCUCGUGAAGGGAUCUUACAGGCGGUAGCGGAUUUAGAAACUUGCAAGUGAUAAAGCAAUAAACCCAGUUUUAGUUUAUGGUGAAUUCCAAACGGCAACAAGUUUGGAGAGAGGGCAAUUGAAAAAACUAAAUGAAAUUUAAUAGCUUCAUUUAUGAUACUAAAUCUAGUGCAGGGGACAUGAUAAAUGCAAAAGAUAAGAGGAAUUCCUACUCACUACUCUGACUAUAACUGCUAACAAUUUCUAGUUUAGAGCUCAUUUAAGACUUUGUGAAUUUUAGUCUUACAAAAGAUCUCCCAUAGUUUUAGAGUUUGAUUGAGAAAAUUAGCUAUGUGUUUUGACUAACUCCUCACUGAAAAAAAUGUCAUCCUUUGUGAAUUUAUUUCUGAGUUCCUGUUGUGGCUCAGCAGUUUAAGAACCUGACUAGUAUCCAUGAGGAUGAAGGUUUUUAUUUUAUUUUAUUUUUUUUGUCUUUUUCCAUUUCUUGGGCCGCUCCCUUGGCACAUGGAGUUUCCCAGGCUAGGGGUCCAAUCUACACCACAGCUCAUGGCAACGCCGGAUCGUUAACCCACUGGGCAAGGGCAGGGACCGAACCCGCAACCUCGUGGUUCCUAGUCCGAUUCGUUAACCACUGAGCCACGACGGGAACUCCCAGGAUGCAGGCUUUUGAUCCCUGCCUUGCUCAGGGGGUUAAGGAUCCAGUGUUGCUGCAAGCUGUGGCAUAGGUCACAGAUGUGGCUCAGAUCUAGCACGGCUGUAGGCCAGCAGCUGUGACUCCAAUUCAGCCCCUAGCCCAGGAACUUCCAUAUGCCACAGGUGCAGCCCU